RNAcentral lists this ribosomal RNA (492 nucleotides) under uncultured bacterium. Its description in RNAcentral is "partial 16S ribosomal RNA". It matches the Rfam family "Bacterial small subunit ribosomal RNA", at positions 30 to 507 of the family's 1533-position model. The record is from RNAcentral.
AGUGAACGCUGGCGGCAGGCUUUACACAUGCAAGUCGAACGGCAGCGCGGGCUGAGGCUUGUCUUCGGGGUGGCAACGGGCGGGUGAUUGAGCGGUACGUCGCCAUCUACUGUGUCUAGGGGGGCGAAAGCCGGAAUAAUACGGCAAAACAGCAUACGGUGUAAGGGGGAAAGCGGAAGACCUCCGGACAUUGGACGAGCCGAUGACCGGAUGUCGGAUUAGCUAGUUGGCGGGGUAAAGGCCCACCAAGGCGACGAUCCGUAGCUGGUCUGAGAGGAUGAUCAGCCACACUGGGACUGAGACACGGUCCAGACUCCUACGGGAGGCAGCAGUGGGGAAUAUUGGACAAUGGGCGCAAGCCUGAUCCAGCCAUGCCGCGUGCGUGAAGAAGGCCUUCGGGUUGUAAACCGCUUUUGUUCGGGAAGAAAAGCUCUGGGCUAAUACCCCGCGGGGAUGACGGUACCGGAAGAAUAAGCACCGGCUAACUACGUG